This is an RNA transcript of Populus trichocarpa (black cottonwood), 2785 nucleotides long. It is a transcript of the gene named probable RNA helicase SDE3, with no coding region annotated. The record is from RefSeq and is a predicted model, not a curated record. The transcript is spliced from 4 exons. NCBI's taxonomy places the organism in Eukaryota, Viridiplantae, Streptophyta, Magnoliopsida, Malpighiales, Salicaceae.
CUUUCAGUAUCAGAUGCAGCUCUACUCCACUACUGAUAAAUAAUAAGUCAGUCCUUCUUUAAUAUAUUUUUCAGUAUCAGAUGUCAAUAAUUUCUUCUUCUAAAAUCCCAGUCCCCCAAUUUUCUAGCUAGCAAGUAUCAAAGAACUAGGGGAUUUCACCCAUGAUGUUCUAGGGAAAUAAUUCGUGGAGAAGGCAAUCCCUGAUCGAAACUUUUGCUGUUAUUUUCUUGGGAACCAAACAGCAACUUUAAGUAUUUGGGUGUGUUUUUGUUGCAGAAGGUCAGUCAUGUUGUCUGGGUGUCUUGAAUUCUUAAAGUGUGUGCUUUGUUGUGUAGAAGAACAUGAAGAAGAUCUCCUUGAAGUGCUAGGUUCAAGGUCAACAAGUAAUUCAUUAGAUGUUGGAUCAAGAUUCACUAGGUCUGUGGGAAGAGUCUCUGAUAGACUUCUGGGUUCCAAUAAUUACACAUAUGCACCUAUAUAUUCCUGUGAUCCACCUACAUCGUCCCCUGCAGUACCUCAAUCUUCAUCAAGAUUUCUCUCACCUUCUUCAAUUCCAACACCUUCAUGGCCUAAUCCUCCAACAUCAUCUUCUAACCAACCUCGAUCCUUACAUAUACCGGCAACAUUUUCUUCUAGACCCUCUCCACCUGCACCUGCACCUUCAACAACUUCGUCGAAUGCAUCCCCUCAAGCUACAACGUUGUCAUUCACAUCAUCUCCAUUUCCACCUCCACUUUCAGCUUCUUCAUCAAAAUCAUCCCAUAAAACUCAUCCUACUGCUUUCCAUCCAUCUCCGUCUCCCAAACCACUCCCACCAUUCCUUAAACCAGGAUCUUCAUCUUCUAAACCUUCUCCAUCUUCGCCUAAAGCAUCCACAUCUUCCCCAGGACCAUCUUCAUCAUCCUCUAAACAGCCCCCAUCCUUCAAACCAACUCUGUCUCAGGUUUCCCCAGAUUCAAUUAAGGAGCAGACAAAGGUCAGCUACAUGUGGGUUCAAAAGGGUAUGUCACCUAUAUAUGCGAUUCCUAAGGAUAUUGAGGACUUGAUCAAGAGAGACAAGGUGCCUGGAGUUCUUAAUAAACCGCUGUCUCUUUCGACAUACAAGGAUUAUUUUGCAGCACUUCUGUAUGCCGAAGACUUCUACAUUGAGAAAUGGAGUGAAUUUAAAUUGGAGAAUAUUACUCUCAAGUUGCAACGUGCAGAAAUCAUUAAGAAGUCACGCAGGAAUGAAUACCGCAAUGAAACUUAUGAGAAGGAUGAUAAGAUCUUUGUAGAAUUUGAGAUUGACUCUUGUUGUGAGAGGCGGCCGUUUCUUUUGUCCAGAGACUUUGCCUUUGCACGACCUUCAGGUCAAAUGACCGAGCCAUGUCAGGGUAUUAUAUAUCGUGUGGAGAGGAGCACUCGUGUAGUGGUUGAAUUUGGUAAAGAUUUUCUUUUGCAGCAUCAUUCAACCCGUAAAUAUGAUGUUAGCUUCUCAUUUAACAGAGUUUGUUUGAAAAGGGCUCACCACGCAAUUGAAGCGGCUUCAGAUCCUUUAUUUAAAAGUUUUCUUUUCCCUGAUGGUGUCUCCAAAAAGAUAUUCCCAAUCUCUACACCUCUCCACUUUUGCAAUCAUAAACUUGAUGUGUAUCAAAGCUCUGCAGUUCGUGAGAUUUUGAGCUUCCAAGGACCACCGCCUUAUAUUGUUGAAGGUCCACUCUGUUUAAACAAGUUUUCAGAACUAUCAAGGACUGGAUUGGUAAUCCAGGAAGCAGUGCUCCAAAUUUAUCAAAGCUCGUCAAAGCUUCGGAUUCUUAUAUGUGCACCCAUUAACAGAACAUGUGAUUUGCUGAUGCAAAGCUUAAACAAUGACAUUCCAAAGUCAGAUAUGUUUCGAGCAAAUGCUACUUUUCGAGAGAUAGAUGGGGUACCUAUUGACAUCCUACCAUCGUGUGCUUACAAAGGGGAGUGUUUUACGUGUCCAUCUCUUCAGGAGCUCCGGAAAUUUAGAGUAAUCUUGUCUACUUUUGUUAGUAGCUUUCGGCUGCGUAAUGAAGGGAUAGCUGCUGGUCAUUUUAGUCAUAUUUUUUUGGUUGAUGCUUCAUCAGCUACUGAGCCAGAAGCAAUGGUGCCUCUGGCUAAUUUGGCUAGUGAGGAGACAGCAGUGAUAGUUACUGGUGCACCAGGAAACCAUUCAGGCUGGGUUCGCUCCAACAUUGCAAGGAAGAAUGGACUAAUGACAUCCUACUUUGAAAGACUUCGCCAUAGCAAGCCAUACCGGAGUUUACUUCCAAAGUUUAUCACACAGCUGGCUGAUCCCCAGAAAGAAUCAGUUGGUGAUUAUAGCUAUGCAUCUGUAUCUUAUGACUAAGGUGUUCUUCCAUAUCUGCAACGCCAUGAUACUCUUAACUCAUUGGAUUUCCUGUAAGCUUUCUCAUUGCCUGGUCUUGUGCAUAUAUGAGUGAAAUACGAAGAGAGUUCUUCUUGGUUUCUGCUUUGUGGUAGAAGAAGAAGAAGAAGACAUAGCAGCAGCAACACAAGAAGAGGUCUAAGAGAAGAAGAAGGUAAUGUGGAUACAAAAACCAUGUUUGUGUUUUGAGGACGAACAAGUUGUGACAACAAAAGUACAAGAGAAGCCACAAAAGGAGGUUUUUUCUGUUGAAUGUUUUUUUAGAUAAGGAAAUGAAUUUGGACACAAAGGGUGUGUGGGUUGUCACUUAUGUAUAUAGUGAUCGCUAGUUUACAAGAAAGAUGCAUGUCGGAUCAAAUAGUAAAUACCUAUUUCACAUUUGUUAUUAAAAUUUAA